RNAcentral lists this ribosomal RNA (369 nucleotides) under uncultured eukaryote. Its description in RNAcentral is "partial 18S ribosomal RNA". It matches the Rfam family "Eukaryotic small subunit ribosomal RNA", at positions 592 to 976 of the family's 1831-position model. The record is from RNAcentral.
UAAUAGCGUAUAUUAAAGUUGUUGCAGUUAAAAAGCUCGUAGUCGGAUGUCGGGCUCGGGCAGGCUGUCGGCUUCGGUCGGACGGCAGGCUCGGGUCUUUCUGCCUGAGGAUCCAUCUCAUUCACUUGGGGUGGGGACGCAGGCCGUUUACUUUGAAAAAAUUAGAGUGUUCAAAGCAGGCCUACGCUUGAAUACAUUAGCAUGGAAUAAUGGAAUAGGACUUUGGUGCUAUUUUGUUGGUUUAUGGGACCGAAGUAAUGAUUAACAGGGACAGUUGGGGCCGUUUAUAUUUCGUUGUCAGAGGUGAAAUUCUUGGAUUUACGAAAGAUAAACUUCUGCGAAAGCAUUCGGCAAGGAUGUUUNCAUUGA